RNAcentral lists this long non-coding RNA (2542 nucleotides) under Oryctolagus cuniculus (rabbit). Its description in RNAcentral is "lncRNA (ENSOCUG00000032728.1)". Lineage: Eukaryota; Metazoa; Chordata; Mammalia; Lagomorpha; Leporidae. The record is from RNAcentral.
UGGUUCACUCUCCAAACGCUACAACAGCUGUAUCUAGGCCAGGUCAAAGCCAGGAGCCAGGAACUCUCCGACCACGUUGCCCACCAGAAUGCCAGCGCCCAAGUACUUGCAUUGAAUGGAGGCAGAGUAGCCGGGUCUGGAACCUGCAGUAUGAUGUGAGAUGCAAGCAUCCUAAGUGGCAACUUCACUUGCUGUGCCACCCACCAGCCCCCAUCCACUCUGUCUCCUGCUUCUGUCUCUCUCUCAGGCUCCAGGACACAAAACAGCUGAGCAGAUAAACAAGUCACCACCUGCUCCCUCCUCCCUCGUGACACCGCCCCUGUCCCCAAGUCCCACCCCUUCUUCCUCCCACUCUCUCCCUCCAGUUCUCGAUGAAGCCAGACUCGCUCUCCCUGCACAGCACAGGCAGGCAGCAGUGACAGGCUACGAGGGACAGGGACAGGACACCUGCUGUCCGCUCUCCCUCCGGUGCGAGCCUCCCCAGCUCAGCCCCCUUUGGCCCCUGCUCCUGCCAAAUGGCACACAAGGAGCUCUGCCUCCGCCCAGGGCCGUUUCCAACAAAACACUUGUGCUUUCUGCAAGUGAGACUCAGGAAUCCCGAGGGAGGUUUACGGCAUCCGCCAGCCCUGGAGCCAGCGUCUGGCUGCUACUUGGCAAAGAGCCCCUUUGCCAGACACAGGAGAGCUGGGAGGAAGGGGUUAACCUGAGCAGAAGCAGCCAGGAGAGGCCCAGCUCCAUUCCUGACUGCUGGGGAGGCAGAGCCCUGGGCUAGAAGGCUACAGGGAGGCCAAGGCCCCCGGGUGUAAGGCCUGCAGGAGGCUGCCCUGGUGGUGGUGUGGUGUUUGGGGGCGAGCACAGGGUGUGCUUUCAGGAACAAAACCCAGGUUCCACCCACAGAUCCCAGGCUCCCGUCUGGAUCCCCCAGCCUGUGCCUCAGUACGUCUCCCUGUGCCUAUGGCAGGCGGUACUGAGUUCUCUCCCCACCCCCUGUGCGUGGGGGAGUCGGGAGGCGGACCCGGAAGUGCACCUGCUCCUGGGAGGAUGUGCAGGAUCCCCCAGAGGUCUUCCUGGCGAUGUAGAGUUGAAACCUGGGUUGCUGCUGCUGUGGCUGAGCUCUGUGAAGCUGGGGUCAGAUGCUGCACCCAGGAGGCAGGGCCCCAGCCUGUCCUGGCCCCCAAGCUUCCAUGCUCCCUGAGAAGUCCCUGCUUGUAGUUUCAUGGCCAUGGCCACUGUGUGUUGGGUGUUUGAGGAAAACAGACCUGCCCUCGUUUGCUCACUGUUUCCCACAGGUCUGCAUGGGAGUGGCCGCACCACUCAGAGCUGCAACUGAAAACAUUUUCAUGGCUGUGUGACUCUGGGCGAGUGGCUCAGCCUCUCUGAGCCUCAGUUCCUUCACUGGUAAAAUUGAGAUAUCUGCCUCGUAGGUUAAACUCCUUUAUUUUUGAUAUGAAGGUAAGUGACAAGGUGAAGUUAAUGUAAGGUACAUAAAAUAUCAAUGCCAGGUGUCCUGCUGGGGGUGCAGGGUCUCUCUCCCUUUCCUUCCCCCGUGUUUGUGUUGUGUUUUUGGUAUUCCAUGGGAGACAGGAUGGAAAGGCCGCAAGGCUGGGGCCGUGGCAGUGACCUCAAACCCAGUUGCUCUGAGGAGGAGGCACCAGGAGGAAGUUAGUGGACAGGAGUCCCUCUUUCCUCCUGCCGCAGAGCAGGCCUCUCCUGCUAGGCACUGCUCACAUGCAGGGCCAGAGGCCCUGUUCUGCACACUGCUGGAUGCUCACAGCAGCCUUGGCCGCUACCCUCUAACUGCCAGGAGCCCCCUCCCCCAGGGUCAUGCCAAUCACCACGUCUGCAGACAGGGACGGAGGUCCCUUGGGAACAGAAUGGGCCCUGGUUGAGAGCCACUGCUCUGUGUGCAGCUCUUGGAGGUUAGCAUGAUGGACACUCACCGAGGUCCUUCUUUUGAACAAGAGUGACCCCAACGUGCCCGAGAAGGGAGACGUGGUUACGGAGAAGCAGAUGAGCGGCUGCUCCAAGACAUACAGGGGCUGGGGGUAGAGAGAAGGGGCCUGCUAUUGAACAGGGGGUCAGGGGCCAGUGUCCCCCAGGGACUGCCACUAUUGGCCCUGCCUCGGGGGGAGUUUCUUGUUCCUGGACUUUUGCCUCUCCUGGUGUGAGGUGACCGAAUCAGACCGGAAGCCCAAGGGGUGGGCGGUUAGCCAAGCAGUUAGGACCUGGCCCUGAAGCCCCAGCCCCGGUCCAGGCCCCACGCUGGGAUGCCCGGCCUCCAGUCCUGGCUCUGCUCCUGCUCAGUUUUCAGCUGAUGAGCACCUGGGAGGCAUCAGCAAGGGCUCAGCUCACCUGCCCCCCGGGUGGGAGGCCUGGAUUCCGUUCCCAGUCGCCAGCUCUGGCCUGGCGCAGGCCAGCCUGUUGCGGGCAUUUGGGUUGUGAACCAGGGCGUGGGAGCGCUCUCCAUCUUUUUCCAUCUCUCUGCCUCUAAAAUCAGAAACAAACAAAUAAAGCAACCCUCUUCUUUUCCUACUUGGCGGGA